This 84-nucleotide transfer RNA is filed under the name Candidatus Latescibacterota bacterium. Its description in RNAcentral is "tRNA-Leu". It matches the Rfam family "tRNA". From Rfam's summary of the family: Transfer RNA (tRNA) molecules are approximately 80 nucleotides in length. Their secondary structure includes four short double-helical elements and three loops (D, anti-codon, and T loops). Lineage: Bacteria; Pseudomonadati; Candidatus Latescibacterota. The record is from RNAcentral.
GCGAGGGUGGCGGAACUUGGCAGACGCGCCAGAUUUAGGAUCUGGUGGGCAACCGUGGGGGUUCGAGUCCCCCCUCUCGCACCA